CACUUCACAGACAUGAAAGGGUGCUGUUCCUACUCCACACAUUACAGUAAAGAGGCCCCUCCUACGUCCUGUCUCAUCCGUCUGUCUGCCUUCGUAAUUACUGGCCUGGGAGGGGCCAAGGUUUUAAAAAGGAUUUCCCUUCUUUGAGUAAAAGUCAGUGACUUUAGGUGGUAAGUUCCCAGCUCAUACUCUUGGCAGCUGGAGACAGGCUAUGAUCUCUCUCUCUCUCUCUCUUUCUUACCCCCACCUCCCGUCAACAAGCACCUCUCUUGCACUCUCUUUUAACUUUCUUUCUUUCUUUCUUUCUUUCUUUCUUUCUUUCUUUCUUUCUUUCUUUCUUUCUUUCUUUCUCUUUCAAGGUGGAAUUAUACAGCAAAAGACAUGUGGGUUAAGACUUCUCUCUGCAAGGAAUUUACUAAUUGCUAGAGACAUGCUGACACGAGGAGUGGUCUAGACAAGGGACCACGGAAGCCACCUCCUGGACCUGCCCACCUGUGGUGAGUUUUCUCCCUUUGCUUCUUUGACCUUCUGGAAUACAAUCCUUAGAACAGGGCUGGUCUCAGCCUCAAAGGGGCCUUUGGAUGCCUUCACCCCUAAAAAGUGCCCUACCAGUGGGUGCUCUCUCUCUCUCUCUCUCUCUCUCUCUCUCUCUUUCUCCUCCCUCCCUCCUUCCCUCCACCCCUAGUGGGCUAUUUCUUAAUUUUCCACACAUGGGUCAAGAGGACGUAACCUGGUGAUACCUUUGCUUCAAUUCAUAUCAGGCAGCUGCCCUUAGACCAGAAUUUGACAAAGUUGCUUCUUUGGAUUAUAAUUUGCAUUAAUUAGGAUGGGGCUUGGGGGGAUUCUGGGGCUUGCAGUCCGGGAACAUAACUUUUUCAGAUCUCUCAUUUUCAUACCUCCUUCAUGACCCAAGGUUGCAUUGGCUUGGAGCAGUGUAAAAAAAAUUUUAAAUGACAGCCAUCUGGUGCUAAGAAUGGGAAAGGGGGCGGUGUUCAAGGGAGCCUAGAGCCACUGUGGGCCCUGGCUUUGCCAAAGGGCCUUGUGGCAUAGCAGUGCCAGGCCUCCUAGGGGGAAAGCUCCCUUCAGUUCA
This 1090-nucleotide long non-coding RNA is filed under the name Pogona vitticeps (central bearded dragon). RNAcentral describes it as "lncRNA (ENSPVIG00000009142.1)". The record is from RNAcentral. Lineage: Eukaryota; Metazoa; Chordata; Lepidosauria; Squamata; Agamidae.